GACGAACGCUGGCGGCGUGCUUAACACAUGCAAGUCGAACGAUGAACCCGGAGCUUGCUCUGGGGGAUUAGUGGCGAACGGGUGAGUAACACGUGAGUAACCUGCCCUGGACUCUGGGAUAAGCGUUGGAAACGACGUCUAAUACCGGAUAGGACCUCGGAUCGCAUGAUCUGGGGUGGAAAGUUUUUCGGUCUGGGAUGGACUCGCGGCCUAUCAGCUUGUUGGUGAGGUAACGGCUCACCAAGGCGUCGACGGGUAGCCGGCCUGAGAGGGUGACCGGCCACACUGGGACUGAGACACGGCCCAGACUCCUACGGGAGGCAGCAGUGGGGAAUAUUGCACAAUGGGCGAAAGCCUGAUGCAGCAACGCCGCGUGCGGGAUGACGGCCUUCGGGUUGUAAACCGCUUUUAGUAAGGAAGAAGGGGAGCUUGCUCCUUGACGGUACUUGCAGAAAAAGGACCGGCUAACUACGUGCCAGCAGCCGCCGUAACAC
This 494-nucleotide ribosomal RNA is filed under the name uncultured bacterium. Its description in RNAcentral is "bacterial SSU rRNA". It matches the Rfam family "Bacterial small subunit ribosomal RNA", at positions 28 to 526 of the family's 1533-position model. The record is from RNAcentral.